UCGAAUCCAAUCAGGAGCAGUUGGUGAU
Molecule: non-coding RNA, 28 nt
Filed under: Mus musculus (house mouse)
Lineage: Eukaryota; Metazoa; Chordata; Mammalia; Rodentia; Muridae
Source: RNAcentral